Peromyscus leucopus (white-footed mouse) is the source of this 2366-nucleotide long non-coding RNA. RefSeq lists it as uncharacterized. Lineage: Eukaryota; Metazoa; Chordata; Mammalia; Rodentia; Cricetidae. The record is from RefSeq and is a predicted model, not a curated record. The transcript has 3 exons.
CAUACUUGCAGUUCUAUUACUGGAGAGGUGGAGGCAGGAGGAUCAGAAAUUCAGAGUCAUCUGCAGUGACAUAGCCAGGUCAGGACUAGCCUAAGCUACAUAAUACCCUAAACCCCAACCCCCUAAAGAAGAAAAGAAAAAGGUAAUCCUACUACUUAGAAGACUGAAACAGGACAAUCUUGAAUUCAGUGCUGUCCUGUAUUUCAUAUGAGAACCUGUCUCAAAAAAAAAAAAAAAAAUGUUAACAGCCAAGCAGGCAUGGUGGCAAAUAUCUUUAAUCCAGCACUCAGGCAGAGGCAGGAGGAUCUCUGUCAGUUUGAAGCCAGCCUUAUCUACAUAUUGAGCUCUAACAUGGCUAGAACAACAUAAAGAGACUUUUGUCUCAAAAAAAAAGAAAAAAACAUAUGGAACUAGUGAGACAGUUCAGAGGUAAGGAGAGCUUGCUGCUCUUACAGAAGACUGGAGUUAGGUUACUAGCACCCGUCAGGCAGGCCUGUUAAUCCCACUCAUGGAGAAUAAGUCCACUACCACAGUUUACGCAAGAUUUGAAGCAGGCAUGAGUUUUACUGGGGUGCACCCGAGAGCUGGCCAGUGACUGCCUCCUAAGUCAGCUUCAAGAGAGCAGCAGCAAAUCCAUUCCUUGGGCUCCUUUAAGGAGUAAAAUCACAAGUAGUUGCAAAGCAGGUUUACAGAAGAGAGACAAUGAGGUAAUAAGAAAAUGUAGGAAAAAUCUCAAAAAACAUCAUGUGGUCACCAUGUGAUUUGGGAGAGUGAUUAGGGAGGGUAAGGGUAUUCUUAUAAACAAAUCAAGGUCAUGGUUUGGUGUCUUAGGGUUUUCUAUUGCUGUGAAGAGACACCAUGACCACAGCAACUCUGAUAAAGAAAACAUUUAAUUGAGGUGGCUUACUUACAGUUUCAGAGGUUUAGUCCGUUAUCAUCACGAUGGGGAGCAUGGCAGUGUGCAGGCAGAGGUGAGACUAGAGCUGAGAGUCCUACAUCUUGCAGGCAACAGGAAGUCAACUGACACGUUGGGCGGUAUCCUGAACACAGGAAACCUCAAAGCCCACCCCUGCAGUGACACACUUCCUCUACAAAGCCACACCCACUCCAACAAAGCCACACCUCCUAAUAGUGCCACUCCCUAUGAGAUGAUGGGGGCCAGUUACAUUCAAACUACCAUAGUUAAGGGAGGUCAGUUUCCAGGAAACAGACUUAAAAACAGCAACUCAGUGUUGUGGAAUAUCUGAUCGCACUGUGACACUCCAAGACUAUUAAUAAAGUUAACCUUGAAUCAGGACAGAGCCAGCCACUAGCUGACUGGACUUAGCCAUAGAGAAGCCAGCGAGACAUGGAGCGAGUCAGACAUGCAGACUGGAGGAGAGAUCAUCAAUUUGGUUGUCAAUAGUAUGAGAAAAUCAGAGAUUUUGAAACAACACAUUCCAGUAAAUUGCUGACAACCAGGAUUGUAAGUAACAGGAUAUCUGAUAAGCUGAAGAAGCUUUGAAGAACCCCCAUGAGUGUCUGUGUUACUGAAAAGCUGCAGAAGAUGGAGAAAUCGCCUAUUAGGCUCUCCAACCAGCUUCUGUGAAGCUAUCCGCCCUAAGACUCUAAGCACUAGACCAACACUAAGUUCUCAAGAACUAAGGCUGAGGAUGUAAUACAGUGGUAGAGGGCUUAUCUAACAAGUAUAAUGCUCUGUAUUUGAACCUCCUAGCAACCAAAAAACAAAACCAAAAUCUAAGAAUUUAUAUACCAGGAAGGUAGAUUUUUGUAUACUCUUCAGUAGAACCUUGACUUGAGGAGAAGUAAAAACACAAAGUAUUUCAAAUCUGUCAUCUUUCAAAUUACAGUUAAUGAAAACUGUCUGGGUAAACUCUGCCCCCCCCCCCAAAUGGCAGGUGUUAUUUAUUAAGCGGCACAAUGUUAUUCAUUAAGUGGUGCUGUUUACUGUGCCAGAAAAGUUUCUUAACAGAAGGAGGUGCUUAGGCCUAUGGAAAUGACCGUGCAGGAAGAAAAAGGGGCAGAGGGAUGAGAGGGAAUUAUAGAUUCCCCUGCACAUGCACAUAAAGGCUUAUGUAGCUAUGCCAUGCAUGCUCAUAGAUUAUGUGAUCACGCUACACGCAAAUUACAUGAUCAGGCAGUGCAUGGAUUACGUUGGCCAUAGGGCCCUGGGAUGACUAAGCAUCUUACCAGCAAAUGCAUGGUCUUAUGCAGAUUUAGCUAAAGUAGUGCUCAGUGACCAGAUUCCUGAGGUCUACGUCAUCUCUUGGCCAAGCAGGAGAGGGUUUGUGGAUUGGAGAAAUGGCUCAGUGGUUAAGAGCACUUUCUACUUUUCCAGAGGACCUUGAGUCCAUAUCAGGUGGCUU